This 499-nucleotide ribosomal RNA is filed under the name uncultured bacterium. RNAcentral's name for it is "bacterial SSU rRNA". It matches the Rfam family "Bacterial small subunit ribosomal RNA", at positions 29 to 526 of the family's 1533-position model. The record is from RNAcentral.
AACGAACGCUGGCGGCGUGGAUAAGACAUGCAAGUCGAACGGAAUAAUUUGGUAGCAAUAUUAACUUAUUCAGUGGCGAACGGGUGCGUAACACGUGGAUACAUGCCGGGAAGCGAGGGAUAGCCCAGGGAAACUUGGAUUAAUACCUCCUGUGGUCGCAACACUAAAGGCGGGGUAACCUGCCGCUUCCUGAUUGGUCCGCGGCCUAUCAGCUUGUUGGUGCGGUAAUGGCUCACCAAGGCUAUGACGGGUAGCUGGUCUGGGAGGAUGACCAGCCACACUGGAACUGAGACACGGUCCAGACACCUACGGGUGGCAGCAGUCGAGAAUCUUUCACAAUGGGGGCAACCCUGAUGGAGCGACGCCGCGUGGAGGAUAAGGUCUUCGGAUUGUAAACUCCUGUCAUGCGAGAGCAAGACUUGCAGGCUAACUCCUGCAAGUUUGAUAGUAUCGCAAGAGGAAGAGACGGCUAACUCUGUGCCAGCCGCCGCGGUAACAC